RNAcentral lists this unclassified non-coding RNA (389 nucleotides) under Hevea brasiliensis (rubber tree). Lineage: Eukaryota; Viridiplantae; Streptophyta; Magnoliopsida; Malpighiales; Euphorbiaceae. The record is from RNAcentral.
UUUACAAUACAUCAUAAAAUUUUACUCUUAAUUGUGAGGUCAAAAACUUUAAAUUUUCACUUUCCAAAAAUGCCUUUCCGCCUCCUCAAAUUUCUGGUUAUAGAUCCACUAAGAAGGUGGGCAGCAAUCAGCAUUAACCAAAUAAGCUGGUAUAGGUAAACCCAAAGGCUGCUUCUGUCUCUGUCAGGGGAGAUGCCAACCAUCUCUUCUUUCUAUUGACCAAAAAUUCUAUCCACAUAUGGAUGUGUGCUUGGUUUGACAGUCCAAGACUUAAACAACUAACGAAAGAGCAUUCAGAGAGAAAGUAGAAAUGUUGCAGGAAAGUUUGUGCACAAAUUUGUGUGUCACAAGCUUACUUAUACAAUUAUUAGUAUUCAGCAGAACAGAAG